RNAcentral lists this non-coding RNA (827 nucleotides) under Trichomonas vaginalis G3. RNAcentral's name for it is "Eukaryotic large subunit ribosomal RNA". It matches the Rfam family "Eukaryotic large subunit ribosomal RNA", at positions 2418 to 3401 of the family's 3401-position model. Lineage: Eukaryota; Parabasalia; Trichomonadida; Trichomonadidae. The record is from Rfam by way of RNAcentral.
GAGCUUCACUUUGGUCUAGUCUUGUAUAGUUCUUGCGGGGGUGUAGACUAGGUGGGAGAGCAAUCGAUUCUGAAAAACCACUACCCUGUUUGGAAUUAUGCUUACCUAUCACAAGGAAUAGGACUAGAUAGAAAGUUUGGCUGGGGCGGCACACCUUCGAAAGAGCAGCGAAGGUGUCCUAAGUUGAGCUCAGUGAGGACAGAAAUCUCACGUUGAGGAUAAGGCCAAAAGCUCAAUUUACUGUGCCUUUUUGUACUAGGAUCAGUUACGAAAGUAAGGCCUAACGAUCCCUAAAUAGCCUCAGGUGCGUGAGGAUUGGGGUGACAGACAAGUUACCUCCGGGACAACUGGCUUGUGGCUGCUAAGAGAUCAAAUCAACGCAGCUUUUUGAUUCUUCGAUGUCGGCUCUUCCUAUCCUAGUGAUGUACAAGUUGCUAAGGGUCGGAUUGUUCACCCGUAUUAGGGAUCGUGAGCUGGGUUUAGACCGUCGUGAGCCAGGUUUGUUUUAUCCUACUGGAUAUAGCAUCAUGAUAGUAGAUUGAUUUAGUACGAGAGGAACUGUUGAUUAUGGCCUCUGGUUAGCGAUUAUCGGAAACGGUAUGUCGCGCAGCUACGCCGUCUGGGAUAAUGGCUGAAAGCCUCUUAAGCCAGAAGCCCAUCUAGAAAGUGAUGCACGUGAUGUUGGACCGAUACGAAUAAUCAUACUCAAAAGGUCCGCUUCAUAGGUAACCCAAUGUAGAAGACAUUGUGUGAACGAAGGUACUGUAAGCAGUGGAGUGGCAUUACGUCCACGACCUGUUGAGGUUCAGCUUCGCUUCUAGGUUUCC